UGAACGCCCCAGGGUCGGUGACACCUCCAUGGGCUGUCCAUUCCAGUGCCUGAUCACCCCUUCUGAAAAGUAAUACUUCCUAAUGUCCAGCUUGAAUCUCCCCUGCAGAACUGAAGUUUGAUUGGAAUAGAAUAGCACUGUUUUGUGGUCUUAAAUCUGACACGUGUUUUCUCCUUGGGCUUCAGGUACAGAUAUUGAUUAAUAAUGACUUUGGAGAAGGUUUCACUAUCCAGUCUCCUGAUCAGGAAGGAAGAACAAGAUUUUUGGAGGACUUAAUCAUGAAUGGAGCUGCUGCUGAACCUCCACUUCCAGGAAGCAGGCAGGUGAGGACGUUGUGCAUCUCAGCCUUUGCUCACUGCAAGGUACCAGCGACUCAGUCUGUGCUGUGCGGUGAUUUUCCACCAGCACUUCUGCUUGUGCCUGAGCACCAGGCAUCCGCUGACGUUGUCUGCUGGCUUUAGGCUGGGCAGACACGGGAAGCACUGCCUGCAGCAGCACUGGCUGAGCUCCGUGUGCCAGAGGAAGGAAAGCGGCGUCUGGAGGAGCAGGAGGAGGAGAGCCUGCGUGACUCUGCGUGUUCUGCAGGGCCGUUCCUCACAGACUGCCGCUGACAGACGUUUGGGGCACUGCAGAGCCUGUUGGUGCAGAGGAGCCUUCCUCCUCAGUUACUCGCAUCCUACAGCAGUGAAGGACUUCCCUUGCUCUGUAGGAAUGGUUCCUGUGCAACGGCAUGGUCGUCUGCCUGUAAUAGGUACUGAAGGUGAUGGUUUUGUGUCUGCAAUUAUGGAGUUGGCCUUGUAGUGGCAGUUGCACCCACUAACAUGCAGCUCUUUCUGACACAGGCAGCUGAAUGAGCAGUGGGACUGCAGCUUCUCUGGCAGUCUUGCAGCUACGUCAGGAAGUAGCAGAUGUGGAUUUGAAAGAAGAACUCAGUUCCUGGGACGUUCCCCUGUUCUUCCCCUAGCUGUCCCCUUGCCCCAGCUCAGAUACCCCUUGCAUUCCUGCAGGUGUCUCUUCCAUCCCCCUGACUGCCCCUUGCUUUCCCCAAGGCUGCCCUUUCCCAUGACACCCAUAAUUCCCUCAGAGUAGCAGUAGCGCCCUCAAUAUUUCCCAUCCAGGACCCCUUUAGCCACCCCACAGCCCCCCACAAAGCCCCAUAGCUGCUCCAGGGCCUAGUA
This 1178-nucleotide long non-coding RNA is filed under the name Phasianus colchicus (ring-necked pheasant). RNAcentral's name for it is "lncRNA (ENSPCLG00000016881.1)". The record is from RNAcentral. Lineage: Eukaryota; Metazoa; Chordata; Aves; Galliformes; Phasianidae.